Gopherus flavomarginatus (Mexican gopher tortoise) is the source of this 6403-nucleotide long non-coding RNA. RefSeq lists it as uncharacterized. The record is from RefSeq and is a predicted model, not a curated record. The transcript is spliced from 4 exons. NCBI's taxonomy places the organism in Eukaryota, Metazoa, Chordata, Testudines, Testudinidae.
UUCCCAGAGACCCCAGCAGCCAAUCUCAUUCCUCAGACUGUGCUGCAUUCGGCUCUCUCUAGGACCCAGCAGCCCUGCUUCUACACUGUCUGGGCUGCCUGCAGGGUGGUGCCCCCAGGGAGAAUGAGGCCCUACGCGGCUGCCUAUUCUGCCUAUGCCUAAGGACGGCUCUGAAUUCGGAAGAAGGUGAAAGGAUGAGCAACUGGAACCUCAGUGGGGAGGCACCGAGCAGUUGGAGCCUCUGGGUAGGGGAUGAGAGAGCUGAAAAAACAGAACUAGCCAAUCUCCUGGUGCCCCAAACAAAACUAGACCCUGCUGUUCCCAUAGGAGAUGGAUGGGAGAUUUUUUGCACAGAGCUCUGGCUGAGACAAGGUCAGAUGGAAGCAUCAGACCACAGAGCUCCUAUCCUGUCGCCUAGCUCCCUCUACUUGGAUGGGCAAGAAUGAACUUUGGACCAUCUCCCUUCCAGUCUGCUGAACACUACUGGGGAGAGAGAAAUAGCUCUUGGUGCUUCUCUAUGGGGGCAAAUAGUCCCUACUUGAUACAUUCCUUUAUGGGGAGUGAGGAACCCCUCUGGGAAAUGAGGAGAGGGAUUUGAGAACUGGAGCUCUGGUCACAUUCUCCCAGCAGCUGGUCUGUCUGUGAUCCUGGCAAUGGGAUGUUCCUGGUGUGUCUGUGCUGGGGGCUGAUAUGGGGCUGAUUUUGAUGAGUGGCUGUGUGGAAGUUGCUGGUGCAUAGCUGUGUGGCUCCAAUACACUGGCAGUACAGCUAUGGUGCAGGCACAGGGGUGUCUUCACACAGCUGCUUACAGGUAGGCAUGAGGGUGCAGGGCAGAGAGAGAAUAUAAUGGUGAUAGGGGGGUGACAUGGAAAGAGAAGAGAUGGAGUUUGGAAAUGGGGACAGAAAUUAUGUGGUGGAAUUAGCUGGGCCCUCUUCACAUAUUUGCUUUUGGUCCAAUAUCAAAAUUACCACUCUUUUGAGAUUGGACUAUUGAUUCCAAUUCAGCUUCCAGUUUCUCCCUGCCAAGGGUGCUGGAACGAUUUUUAUAGUGGGGUAGCUGAGAGUCAUUGAGCCAAACUAAACUCUGUAUAUAAGGGAACUCACUUCAAGCCAGGUGGUGUGGCAGCACCCCCCAAUCCCUAAUUCCAGCAUGUAUGCUCCCUGUACUUGUAAUUCCUUUUUCAGUCUUUUGUAGCGUAAUGUGCACUCAUUUCAUAGCAAUAUCAAAAUAAUUCAGUAGAACAGCACGUUGAUAUCCUAUAGUGAGAGAGAGAAAAACACUCCGCAGACAAAAGAUUCCUCCUAGAAUACAACACUUCACCAGUUUGCAAUUACUCCCAUUUUCCCUAGCCUUCUGAUUAUCACGUUGGAUUUUGUGUAAACAACAUCACACAGUCAGUGCAGGACCAAUUCAAACUUCCAGCUUUGUCUGAAACCGUAAAACCUCCUGUAGCUGUUGACAUCAAUGCAGCUGAACAUGUCCAGUUUUAGAAAAUCCGGUGUCAGACACAGCUCUGAAAGAUUGACUUGUGCCAUGAAAGAGGUCAUGCUGCCUCCACCCCCAACUAGAAGUCACAGAGUUUCUCCUCUAUAGACUUCAAUUAACAGCUUCUGUUUGUCCUAUGGGCCGUAACAUUUAGAUCACUGCUUCAAACGUCCUUGGAACAAGGUGGUGAUGGGAACUUGAGGAAAGAAAAUAUGUUAAGAAAGCAUGGUGAUGACCAUAUCUCACCCCAGCAGCUGCCAGUGCUAUGGAGAAAUUGUGUCACAGGCACAGGACUAGCCUUUCUAAGGCAAACAAGGGUAUGUCUACAUUACCCACCGGAUCGGCAAGUAGUGAUCGAUCUAUUGGGGAUCGAUGUAUUGUGUCACGUCUAGACACGAUACAUAGAUCCCCAAAUGCGUUCCCUGUCGACUCCGGAACUCCACCAGGGCGAGAGGCGGAAGUGGAGUUGACGAGCGAGCGGCGGCCGUUGAUCUCGUGCAGUGAUGAUGCAAAGUAAGUCAACCUAAGAUACAUUGACUUCAGCUAUGCUAUUCUCAUAGCUGAAGUUGUGUGUCUUAGAUCGAUCCCCCCCAGUGUAGACCAGGCCCAAGAGGACCAUGAGAGGGCAUGUGCCACCGGGUGUUACUGCUGUAGUAGUGCUUGAGCAGGGAAGUGAUGGGAGCCAGCUUUCCUGACUCUAGUGGCAGCAUGUUGAUACAUGAGAAUGAAUCAUAGAAUAUCAGGGUUGGAAGGGACCUCAGGAGGUCAUCUAGUCCAACCCCCUGCUCAAAGCAGGACCAAUCCCCAACUAAAACCCCAAAUGGCCUCUUCAAGGAUUGAACUCACAACCCUGAGUUUAGCAGACCAAUGCUCAAACCACUGAGCUAUCCCUGACCCCCAAGAUGCCUCCUCUCAGAAGGAAGAGACCCUCUCCACAGUUUGAGGUGACAAAGAUACCCACAGAAAGCAGAUCCCCUAAUUGAGACCUCACAGUUCAGAUAAAUCCCGCUUACUGAUCAUCUCCCUCUUUACACUCUCUCUUUUAGUAGCUCAUUUCUUUCUUCCUUCCCAAGCUUGCUGGCCAGAGAUGGACCAGCGAAGGAUCCUGGGAAUGCUGAAAGCAUCCUGGUCUAUCUGAUAAAUGGCCUGUAUUUUCACCUGGCCUGACUGAAGAGAUCAGGGGCCACUUGAAGGUACGCUAUCUCACGAACCUCCAUUGAUAGUACAGUACUAAUUCUAUACUACAGGAUUUUAGAGGUAUGUUUUAUGUUACACCUACUAGCUGCUUUCCCUGAUACAAACUGACUCUCCCUUCCCCCGCCUAUAUAAAAUUACACCAGCCUAAACUAAUGUACAUGGAAUUACUAAUGAUGAAUAGAGCUGGUCAAAAUAUGGGACAAUUUUGUGCCUCCCCAUUUUGGGGUAUGUGUGUCAAAGUUUUGAUGAAACAGACAGUCAACAUUUUGGAUUUGUAUAUUUUUCUAUCAGGUCUAAUGAUGAAUAACUUACACUAGCACUUAAAUCUCCUCUGAAUUUGGUCCACAUUGAAAAAUGUAGCAUUCAGGUAAUUUUCUGUCACUGUUCCAUUUACCUGUAACAAACCCCUGUGGCUGGAGGGGCCAGACUUUUGGUUGCAGUUCAGCUCCUUUUGUCCUGCUGGAGUGGCACAAAGAGGUUGGAAAUCAGACAAAUCUGACCAGCUGAGAAUUCCCCCAGCUCAGAGGAGCUCUGCCUAUGCUCAUCUGGCCUAUGGGUCCCUAAAGGCCUGUAAACCAGCUGGCAUAUGUAAGAGCAGUACUUCUGCUGCUCUAAUCUAUGCUCUAGAUCAGGGCAGCACACUUCCACCCUGAUAUUCAAGAAAUUCAUUUCAAUGCAGGGAUUCUUCUAUCCUCACAGGGCUUUUCUCUCCCUUUUCUUGUGUUACUCUGGAAACAAUGGACCCUGGAUUUUAUUCAGUGUGUUGAGUGGAGCUCUCAGAAGAUCCCCCUGAAAUCCAUCUUCUCCUCUUCCUUAUCUAAAAUAUAAACACUGAUUCAUGAAAAAAGACUUGCACCCACGCUUAACUUUAUGCACUGUGAGUAAUCCUACUGAUUUCAAUGGGACUACUCACAGGCUAUGUGUACAUUGCAGCUGGGAGCGUGCUUCCCAGCUGCAGCCUGGGUGGACAGACCUGGGCUAGUUCCACUCUCAAGCUAGCACACUAAAAAUAGCAGUGUGGGGCAGCUCAAGCUAACAAACCUGCCCAAUCCUCUGGUACCUACAUGAGUGGCUAGUCCACGCCACCGCCCACACCCCCGUGGCCACACUGCUAUUUUUAGAGUGCUGGCUGAAGCAGAGCUAGCAUGUGUCUGUCUACCCAUGCUCCCAGAUGUCGUGGGGACAUACCCAGGGUGUAAGGUCAAGCAUGGGCGUAAGUGCUUGCAGAUUUGGAGCUGUAUUUUUCUCCUAAACGUGUUUUUAGUAUGAUUACUGCAGGUUCUUGUUCAUCACCCUCCCUUCUUCCUUUUGUUCUAAGCUGGUCCCUCUCUGCCCUUUUGUUAUUACUGCUAUAUAAAGUGUUGUAAAGGCUGGAUUAUGUUUUAUCAGUAUUAUGUUCUUAUAUUUUAGAAUGUUUUCAUCAUAUUUUGCUUGCAUAAUACUUGAAGCCUGUUAGCACAGCAGAGGUGGGUUUAAAGCCAAAAAGAGUUUUUAAAACUCUAAAUAAGGAAAAAAAUGUUUCCCUUUUUCCUCUUUGUAGCCCAAGUACUUUUCAUGCUAGUGUGUGCAUGUGCAUCAGAGUGCAAAGAAAAUUGGGGGGAAAAAGAGAGAGAGAGAGAGAUGGUUAACAUUGCAGGGAAAUGACCCCAAAGUUGUACCCUACUGUUCAGUUCUCAGCUGGCCCUUCUGAUGUUGUUUAGUAGCUAUUUAAAGCCAAUUACUAAUCCAUUAUUAGUUUGUGCGAAGCAGCUUGAGAGACAGAACUGUUUUUUCAAUCUGCGAGCUAGAUCCCCAUCUAAAACACUGUGACUGUCAUCAUGAAAACCAGCCACAUCUCAUGUGUGCACAAAUUCAGAGAGUAACAAAAGGAUGGGGUGGUUUGUAGAAACAAGUUAGCUUAAGGAUAUAAUACAAGUCUGUGUUUCUUUACAUGUGUGUGCAUUCCUAUACAGCACAUGGGCCAAACUCUUCUCUCAAGUACAAUACAGGAACUCUGUGGGAGAGUUUAACUGUCUAUAUUCAUCAUAACAUGAACUUUUAUGAUCUUAGUUACAAAUUAGGAUCAAGACUAAAGAUCUGCUUGCUUUCACUGAGAAGGCAAAUGUGCGAAAAUACUUCAGCCAUGUCAAUUUUCAUUUGAAAACAGGACAAACAUCACAGUAAUAAUUAGCAGUGGUCACAGAGGCAUCCAUUGUUUGUGCCAGUGAACAUUUCUUAGUGCAAGUUCUACGGUUUGUAAAGGAAAAUAAAAUUCUGUAGUGAGUCUGCUUAGAGGACAAAGGUUCAAAAGUUGAUUCUUUUAUGCUGCAAUUUACACAGCUUCUGUGCCACCCCAUUAUAAUGCCCAUUGUGUCCCUUAGAUAAAAGGCAGUUUAAAUCUAUGUUACUUUCUGUAAUUGCCACACCCUCCCCCCCAUCCAUAGUUUUAAAAAUGUAUCCUUCUGUGUUCUGUGAACAAGGGGACCUCUCCAAAAUGAUUGUGUUCUUACAGAAGGUACAAUGCAGACUUGGACAUUUCCCCUGAGUAUUAGUAAGAAACCAAUGAUUUCCAGAGAUUUGUAGAUGUCUGCUCUUGCCUUAUAUGACAAUUUCGUAUAUAUCUAUAUCAAACUAAAAACUUAAUUUUUUGAGUGAGCACCAUUCUGAUUGUAAGAGUGUACUGCCUUCCCUUUUGCCUCCAUUUUAGACUGGAAUUCCAAGAAAUGUUGGCACAGUUUGAACAUUGCACAGUGAUCACCGGUCAUUAGCAAUGAAUGAUUUUGUCCUGGCACUGCAGUGGGUAUGCUAAAGAGGGUGGACAAGCUGCAGGAAACCAGUUUUUCCAGUCUAGACUUCAGAUAGGUGGGAAUUAAGCAAUGGAUCACCUGAUAGAGAAACAGGUCUGCUUGUAAUAGUUCUCUGUCAUCAACCAGAACAAGAAGGCAAGACUGGGCAGGAGACGGAGUGGAGGGUCUUGAGACCCUAAAAAGACUGACCAAAACCCAAGGGGCUCUCCAAGUGGCAAGGACUCUGCAGGGAAGGUUUUUGUGUUCAGCUAUUUAUUAUUUUUGUGUGGAUCUGUAUUUCUAUUGUGCGCACUCUAUGAGUAAAAUGUGUGUAUUUGUAGAAAAUCCUUUGCAGACUCUCAGUCCCUGAUGAUGGAAACAGUAAACCAAAAGAUCCACAGUUUUGGUUGAACUCUGAGAGCUUGUAGCAGCUACUGGAGAAGCUUGGGAGAACUGGCACUAGUCUCAGGACUGGGCAAUUUCACCCUGGAUGUCCCCACCACCAAGAGGGGUGUCAAACACAAGGUCUGUACAUGGAGUGUGCGCCUAGAGGCCCAGAGCCAGAGAGACAGUGCCCAAUCUCUGCCCAGCCCUAGCAAGCCAAGAGCAUGUUAAUAAGAUUUAUGGAUAUCCAAUAGGGGGAAUGCAUCAGGAUUGUAACACCUUCCCUGUUGUCUUUGCAUUGAGAGAAUUGCUGAGGAUCUGACCCAAUACUCCUCCUUACUUUUUCAUUCUCUGAAUGCUGCCUAAUCAUUAGUAAGAAUGAGCAAGGUUAUUUUACCUGAUUUUGAACCCAAUAAAACAUUUUUGCUUUCACCUUCUAUCUAGGAGAGCACAGGAUAACUUUAUUGUUAAAAUUCCUGUGUAUUAAACACACGUUAUACAUUGUUAACAUGUAAUAAAAAAACAACUUCAGUGUAGUUUCACUGCAGUAUUAAAGAUUUCUUUCACAUUG